CUAAACACCAUUCUCAAACAAAGGGUUUUCAUUCCAUUUUCCUUGAUUCCCAUUCUCAUUCUCUUUCCCUUUCCCCUUCUCCAACCAAACGGCCCAUCACAGAGUGUUUACCGCCUCCAUCAUCUUUCUUCAUUUUUUUUAAUAAUUCAUCUCUCUUCAUUGUUAUCCUCAAUUUUUCAACAUUCACAAUUGCAAUUAGAGAUUCCGUUUAAGGUGAUGUCGAUCGGUAUUGAAACCUCAUCUCAUAGGACACAAAUAGGGUCAUAUAUUCGCCAACGUUGACAUUCGGGUUUCCAUAUCAAGGUGACGAUGAUUCCAUUAAUGAGGAUAUGUUGCUAUGAUCAUAAGGUUUUUGACAUCAUCAUACAGACAGUUUCAACUACUCUAUUCAUGGUUACUAGGUUGCGUGAACUGUUGUACAUUGUUAUCUCCCUUGUUUACGAAACGAAGUAACUAUUAUGUUUACUUUAGAGCCUACUUGGAAUUAUUGUGUAAAUUAAAUUUAGGGUGUUGUAUUGUAAUAAUUGUUACUUCAAUGAAAAAGUUAAUUAUUUGGCUAGCUAAUAUAUAUUUUCUUUCAAAGUGGAGUUAA
Molecule: long non-coding RNA, 592 nt
Organism: Spinacia oleracea (spinach)
Lineage: Eukaryota; Viridiplantae; Streptophyta; Magnoliopsida; Caryophyllales; Amaranthaceae
Exons: 3
Source: RefSeq, a predicted model, not a curated record